Molecule: long non-coding RNA, 1392 nt
Filed under: Homo sapiens (human)
Lineage: Eukaryota; Metazoa; Chordata; Mammalia; Primates; Hominidae
Description: PREDICTED lncRNA (TCONS_00148173)
Source: RNAcentral
CUGAGGAGCCGGCUGCAGGGCGGUGAUUCGCCCCCGGGAUGGUGGCGGCGAUUCCGUGCGCCUUCCUGCAGUUGGACAUCAGUUAUAUUUCAGGCUUUCAAAGUAAACGACGAACUCAGCACUUUGGCAGAGUCCAAAAUCCGCCAGCGAACUUGGGUGCUAGAGUUCGGCGGGAAGAAAAGCGCCCGGGCUGCGCCGACCGCCGGCCCCGAGCCGCCGCGGGCUCCGAGGAGUCGGCCGAGCUGCUCCCGCGCCCUGGCCGGCUGGGUCUUCAUCCUCAUUGUACUCCCUUGGCAUCUCAUGGUGACGUGACUUAGAAGGUGGUGCAGAGACGUUUGAAACUAUUGCUUUGCUGAAAACAUCUGACUGCCAGGCUAGGAUGUGACACUUAAGGGACUUACCAAUUUGGGAUUCUUCCAGGAGCUGAAAACUGAUUGCAAAUAUGAAACAGAUUUCACUACAGGACUUGAACCCUACAUUAAAAAACAACAAGCUCCCCAAAAUAAUUGAAAAAGAUCUUCACCAAAGAGUAGCUGCAAUGUGAAUGGCAGGAUAUGAAGCAAGUAAGAGAUGGUGAAAAGAUUAUCUUAAGCUUGGAAUUAAGUGAUGAAAGGGACCUUCGAAAUUAUCAACUCUAAAUACUUCUUUACAGGAAAAUUGAAAGCAGUUAAGAACCUGCCCCCUACCGUGGAGUUCUUGGUGCCGUGAGUUGGAGUUCUUGGUGCCUGGGUGCGUCCCCAAGGCCACUGGUCUUCAGAUCUUUCUUACUUGAGAAGAACGCCUCCGCCUCCUGGCUCUCCCACCAGUGGUAUUGCCACCACCACACACCAGCAUAAAGCACAGAUUGCUGCCCAGCUCCUUGGAGAGGGGCCAGUGCAUUUGUCAGGAAUUGAAAAGUUUUGGAGCCAGUUCGAGGACUUUCUCCUGCACAAAGUGUUGGCUGGAAGCAUGAAGCAAUAACACAUGGUUUGCCAAAGAAUCUGCAUUGAAUAAUACUGGUGGUGACCACAAGAACAUGCCUCUCUGACUGCAAGGAACAAGAGUGACCCAGGGUUUCAGCUGCUGCCUUGGAAAUUCAUCACAGUGCAAGUCUAUGCUUCCCACGGGCUGCUCCCAGCCUGUGAAUAAGCCUGGCAUCUUUGUUGAGGCAGGCCUAUUUCUGGAGAUGCAGGAUCCUCCGAUGGGCGAAUUUGGCUCUAGGACUGCUUGAUGGCCUUGACAGACUUUCCUUAGAAAUGCAUGGCAAUUUAGGGUUCCUCCACCCUUCCCUCUUUCUCUCCUUCACCUAGGGUCGGACUUGCAUCAUGGCCUGAAAGCUCCACCAGCCUCUCCUGCCCUCCUCCUCAUUUUCUUUCACAGGCAUAUCCUCUAAUAAAUUUCUUGCACAUUGAA